This 159-nucleotide ribosomal RNA is filed under the name uncultured Piloderma. RNAcentral describes it as "5.8S ribosomal RNA". It matches the Rfam family "5.8S ribosomal RNA". From Rfam's summary of the family: 5.8S ribosomal RNA (5.8S rRNA) is a component of the large subunit of the eukaryotic ribosome. Lineage: Eukaryota; Fungi; Basidiomycota; Agaricomycetes; Atheliales; Atheliaceae. The record is from RNAcentral.
CAACUUUCAACAACGGAUCUCUUGGCUCUCGCAUCGAUGAAGAACGCAGCGAAAUGCGUUAAGUAAUGUGAAUUGCAGAUUUUCAGUGAAUCAUCGAAUCUUUGAACGCACCUUGCGCUCCUUGGUAUUCCGAGGAGCAUGCCUGUUUGAGUGUCAUUA